This 520-nucleotide ribosomal RNA is filed under the name Sibon bevridgelyi. Its description in RNAcentral is "partial large subunit ribosomal RNA". It matches the Rfam family "Bacterial large subunit ribosomal RNA", at positions 1810 to 2603 of the family's 2925-position model. Lineage: Eukaryota; Metazoa; Chordata; Lepidosauria; Squamata; Dipsadidae. The record is from RNAcentral.
AAAACAUAACCUUUAGCCAAACAAAUAUUAAAGGCAACGCCUGCCCAGUGAACAAUUAAACGGCCGCGGUACCCUAACCGUGCAAAGGUAGCAUAAUCAUUUGUCUAUUAAUUGUAGACCAGUAUGAAAGGCAAAAUGAGGGUCCGUCUGUCUCUUACAAUAAAUCAAUUAAACUGAUCUCCUAGUAAAAAAGCUAGAAUCCACACACAAGACCAAAAGACCCUGUGAAGCUUAAACUAAACUAUUAAACCCUAUAAUACCUACUUUCGGUUGGGGCGACCUUGGAAAAAAAAAGAACUUCCAAACACAUGACCACACUCAUCACACGUGGCCCACAAGCCUUACAAUAGACCCAGUAUAGCUGAUAAUUGAACCAAGUUACUCCAGGGAUAACAGCGCCAUCUUCUUCAAGAGCCCAUAUCAAAAAGAAGGUUUACGACCUCGAUGUUGGAUCAGGACAUCCUAAUGGUGCAACCGCUAUUAAGGGUUCGUUUGUUCAACGAUUAAUAGUCCUACGUGA